This is a long non-coding RNA of Zalophus californianus (California sea lion), 1610 nucleotides long. RefSeq lists it as uncharacterized. The record is from RefSeq and is a predicted model, not a curated record. The transcript has 2 exons. NCBI's taxonomy places the organism in Eukaryota, Metazoa, Chordata, Mammalia, Carnivora, Otariidae.
AGGAAUUUAAAUUACCACCCAUAGAAAACCCACUGAAUUCACACUCAUUCACUCAUUCAGCACAUGCCUAUGAAGUGCCAACUCACUGCAGGGCACCAGGCACACGGGCCAAUUUUCUAAAAGGCAGUGAGUGCUAACAGAGGCAGCCAACAGGCCUGGAGGACAGGAGCCCCUCGAGCAAUUCCAGCAGCAGAGACUUGUCUAGCUGCCACAGUGAUGCUCCCUGUUUUUGGAGAACGCCCACAUUUGUAUUUCCCAGCUCCGACUGCUCCCCAGCACUCCAGACAUGGAUAUCCUCUUCCAUAAGGGCUGUCACUGAGUUCUCCCUCCGCCCCCAACCCAGCCCCGUGCUUCCUCCAGUCUCCCUAUUGGGGGGGGGGGGGGCGGGCGGGGAACAAGUAUUGGACUUGAGCAAGUGGGCCAUUAAGAGUCCUCUGCAUACAGAUGGCCCAUCAGUCUUGCAGCCAGACAAGCCUGUCAUUUUAAAGAUCACCCUGGCUGUCGCGUGGAAAACGAGCUAUCAGGGAGAGAGGAGACUGGGAGCCUGGCGGGAGCCCCUGCGCGAGCAGGCAAAGAUGCCGUGAACUGACAGCUCGGUACUGGACUUGGGCGGGAGAGCGAUCCGGACACAUUUCAGAGGCCGGGUCCGGCUCUGGGGCGUGAGGAAGUGAUAAUUCCUACUAUUUGAGCAAAGAAAGGGCCAAUCUCAAAUUUGUGAUUUUCACAUCAUUUCUAUGUUUAGAGGAAAAGGAACAGACCUGUGGGACAGACCUGCAGCUUUAGGGAGGGUUAAGGAAGAUGAAGUUGGACAGGCAAGCAGAAAUCUGUCCCUCUUCGAAAAAGCUGUUGGAGUUUUAGAGGACUCUGUGGGAGAUUAAAAUGUGUCUCCUGUUCAUAUCUGGAGUUAGAGACCAGGUAGGGAAGUCACUAAUAGCCUAGAAACAAAAUGCUGUUAUUUCCUCAAUUCGAAGACACACGCCUUUCCACGCUGUGCCGUUCCUGAGGUCAGCAUGCGUCCGACAGGGGCUGCUGGCCAAACGGCCGCCGCCACCCGGGCGCGCGAGGCCUUGUCCCGGCCGCCACACGAAAUGUCUGCUGGAAGAGACCGAGAGAGUGCUGGAAAGAUGACCGUGGUGCAGAAAAGCUCAGGGUCACAGGGAACGGAUUUGGCACGAAUAAAGCCGAUGUCUGCCUUUGAGGAAAAGGCCACAAUUCCCUAACUUCUUGCGAGCCACAGCCAAGUGCUUAUGGGACCCGAAAAGGACGCCGGCAGCCGAUGGAGCAGCGUUACAUUUGCGUCCCCGAGAGAUGUGCAGCCUCCUGCCGACGCCUUCUGGCAUCAUCGGGGGACACGCCACCAUCGUAUCAGAGCAGCUGGCGUGGGAUUUGGUUAAAAUGCCGGGGAGAAGACUGGAGUGUGCUAAAAAGUCUGUGUCACUAUCGUUCUCAAUGACACGAGGGAAAGACACGGACAGCCGAGUCCAAAAAUAAUUCCCAAGAGUCGGGCUUUGGCUAUGAAUUUCUCUAAGCACCUAAAUCAACUUGCUUUGAUUUUAUGCGAUUUUCAUAUAUGCAGUUAUUACAUACAAUAAAAAUCUGUAUUUAAAUAA